UAGCGUUACACCACGGAUCCUACUAAACUCCAAGCAAGUACCAACGUGGUAGCAAAGGUCACAUAGGUUUUCAACAGUAAGGCACGUGAUAGUUCUCUAUGUUUUUCGUCACAUUCCACGUGAGUAAAUAGCCGGCCAGCUCCAUCAUCCAUCUGGUCUUCGGACAACUUCACCUAGUGGCCAACCAAGCAAACACGCAGGCGGCAUUGAUAAUUGUGAAACGAUUGGUAACUUACUGGUGAAAGUCAUCCUUGCGUUCGAAUUUAAUCUUCGACUCUCUUUAGGUUGGAAGUAUUGAAUAAGGGAACUAUCUUGCAAAUUCAUUAAAAUCAUCAGGUGAAUCCUUGGAGAUCAAGGAAGAUCUUAUGGGAUCAAUUUCUACAUGGAAAAUUGUACUAGAAAAUAAAUUUAAGUAUACUUAUUAUAACUCAAUAAGGCUUAAUGUGAGCCAAUGGAAAUAUGGCAUGUGAAGUUAGGGUUGCUCCCCUGUCCAAGUCCUUUUUUCCACAAGGAAUUCUAUCCUAUGAAUAGAGACACACGAAACCUAAAUCUACACAAUUCUUCAAGCUUUAGUCAAAUCUCUGCUUCCUUAUCUCUUUCACACCUAAUCCCCCACAUUACUUUGUAUCAUUAGUUGACUUAACAGUCGGAGUACCAAUAGUUGCUGACCCUUUUUUCGACUUGGUGAUCUAGGUGCUAACGAUUUUUGUUUUUGUGUGCAAGUAAUAUAGAGAUUGACAUAUGCAUAGUAGGAUAUUUGUUGAGAGCAAAGCCCUAGAGAGUGUAUAUACAUACAAAAGACCAAUUGAUGUUUUAUUUAGAUUGUUGAUGCUAAUAUAUGAAAUUUGACUACUUUAAAGUAGGAUAUAGUCUUGCGCAACAUUAGGCUAAUUUUAGCUGACACAAAUUAGAUUGGUCUUUUGUAUUGCGUAUAUAUAUUAGCUACAUGUUAACAUGGAAAGUACUUGUGUGCUACGUUUGCCCGAUUAAAUAAGUUAUAUAUGUUCCAGCUGACGACAACUUGACCACAGAUAAAUAUGU
RNAcentral lists this long non-coding RNA (1041 nucleotides) under Olea europaea subsp. europaea. Lineage: Eukaryota; Viridiplantae; Streptophyta; Magnoliopsida; Lamiales; Oleaceae. The record is from RNAcentral.